Molecule: ribosomal RNA, 460 nt
Filed under: uncultured bacterium
Lineage: Bacteria
Description: bacterial SSU rRNA
Rfam family: Bacterial small subunit ribosomal RNA
Source: RNAcentral
CCUACGGGUGGCAGCAGUUUCGAAUCGUUCACAAUGGGGGCAACCCUGAUGGCGCGACGCCGCGUGGGGGAUGAAGGUCUUCGGAUUGUAAACUCCUGUCAUUGGGGACUAAUGGCCAGGCUCAUACCCUGGUUUGAAUUAACCCAAAGAGGAAGCAGUGGCUAACUCUGUGCCAGCAGCCGCGGUAAUACAGAGACUGCAAGCGUUACUCGGAUUCACUGGGCGUAAAGGGAGCGCAGGCGGACUCGUGUGUCUGACGUGAAAUACCGGGGCUUAACCCCGGUGCUGCGUUAGAAACUACGAGUCUAGAGACUUGGAGGGGUAAGCGGAAUUCUUGGUGGAGCAGUGAAAUGCGUAGAUAUCAAGAGGAACACCAACGGCGAAGGCAGCUUACUGGACAAGAUCUGACGCUCAGGCUCGAAAGCGUGGGGAGCAAAAGGGAUUAGAUACCCUAGUAGUC